Molecule: ribosomal RNA, 434 nt
Filed under: uncultured bacterium
Lineage: Bacteria
Description: partial 16S ribosomal RNA
Rfam family: Bacterial small subunit ribosomal RNA
Source: RNAcentral
AGCGAACGCUGGCGGCAGGCCUAACUCAUGCAAGUCGAACGAACCUUUCGGGGUUAGUGGCGGACGGGUGAGUAACACGUGGGAACGUGCCUUUAGGUUCGGAAUAACUCAGGGAAACUUGUGCUAAUACCGAAUGUGCCCUUCGGGGGAAAGAUUUAUCGCCUUUAGAGCGGCCCGCGUCUGAUUAGCUAGUUGGUUGAGGUAAUGGCUCACCAAGGCGACGAUCAGUAGCUGGUCUGAGAGGAUGAUCAGCCACAUUGGGACUGAGACACGGCCCAAACUCCUACGGGAGGCAGCAGUGGGGAAUCUUGCGCAAUGGGCGAAAGCCUGACGCAGCCAUGCCGCGUGAAUGAUGAAGGUCUUAGGAUUGUAAAAUUCUUUCACCGGGGACGAUAAUGACGGUACCCGGAGAAGAAGCCCCGGCUAACUUCGUG